This 1263-nucleotide long non-coding RNA is filed under the name Homo sapiens (human). RNAcentral describes it as "HSALNT0352568". The record is from RNAcentral. Lineage: Eukaryota; Metazoa; Chordata; Mammalia; Primates; Hominidae.
GAGGAGGAUGUGACGCCCAAUCACACCUGCAGUAGAAACACAGCUGUGAUACUGUUCUUAAUAUUCAGGGAGGAAGACGAUGAUAUUACUCCCAAAACAGACGGCUGUACACCCUCUGCACACCGAGGGUCUACCCCCAUCUGUGAAAUAGUUUAUAAUUUCCAGAGGGGGAGAUGAUAUCACUCCGAAUAUCGUAAACAGGCUGCUUCGGUAGAUUGCAAAUGACCUGCUUUCUUUCGGAUCCCGGGCUGCUUUCGGACACCUGUCGAAUAGUAAAUCCCAAGUAAGGUACCUGCGGUCGUCGGCAGAUCUGAAUUUUCUUCUUGGACACCUAAUACCCACAGCCCUCCAGAGACCGAGAGGUUGAUGUCACUCCCAAUAUCGGAGGAAGUAUACACCCCCGUGUGAGAUGGUCCUUAAUAAUAUUCCACGGCGGAGGGGGUGAUAUGACUACAUACAUGGCAGAAAGUGGAAACCUCCCAGGGAUAUUGUUCCCACGAUCCUGGAGGGAAGAAGAUGAUGUUACUUUCAAUAUGACAGAAGGUGGAUGAAGUGGUGGACUGCCCCUCCACACCUGUGGACACGCCCCCACUGAUAUUCCUUCUAAUUGCAGCGUGGGAGAGGAGGAUAUGACACGCGAUAUCGCAGGGAGUAGAAACACCCCUGUGAUACUGUUCUUAAUAUUCAGGGAGGAAGAGGAUGAUAUUACUCCCAAUACAGACGGGUGUACACCCUCUGUACACCGAGGGUGUACACCUGUCUGUGAAAGAAUGGACACGCCCCCACUGAUAUUGUUUUUAAUGCAGCGUGGGAGGGGAGGAUAUGACACGCGAUAUCGCAGCUGAGUGCCACGUGCUGACGUCACUAAGAUCAAUACAGCAAACUCUGAAAGAUGGACAGAGAGACAGGAGAUGGUCCUUUAUAAUGCAGUGUGAUCUGUGCUGCAAUAGAGUUUUGGAAGCUAGAAGUUCAAAACGAGGUGUUGGCAGCACCAUGCUCUCUCUGAAGAUGCUAGGAAGAAUCUGCUCCAUGCCUUUCCAUUCGCUCCUGGGGUUUCCUGCAAGCCCUGACAUUCCUUGGCUUGUAGAUGCAUCACCCCAGUUUCCGCCCCCAUCAUCACAUGGCCUCCUCUCUGUGUGUGCCUCUGCGUUCCCUCUAUUCUUCUUCUAAGGACACCGACACCAGUCAUAGUGGAUUAAGGGUCCACUCCUAACCAAUUACAUCUGCAACAACCCUAUUUCCAAAUAAAGUCACAUUCUAAGA